UUCUCAUCAUUACAAAGCUAUAGAUCAGAAAGGGUUAGUUUGUGUUUUUUGUGCUAUUAAAAAUAAAUGAGAAGCAGAAAAAAUAGAAUAAAUGCGUUGUGCUUUUGCGUGCAUGUGGAGAAAUCAGUUGAAAAUCAAGUUAUAAAGCAUUACAGUAUGUCCCUUUAAGUAGAAAUAUCGCAGUACUGUAGUGUCUUUUGGUUUGAGGUGCUGGUGCCUGCAGGCAGUCCUCGGUUGCCCAGGAAACACAGAUGGUGGAUGAAGGGCGCGCAUACAAAAGACCAUAAACCUGUGGCAGCAGCUGGAGACCGAGACCACUGAUUAAUUCAAGUCUGUGCAGUCCCCGCUCAGUCAAAGACGUCUCUGUUAUCUUUAAUACCUCCCAUCCAUUUUCUUUGUCCCGGGGCUUCCGUCUCCACUUUAUCCUGUUUUCUCCGGACUGGUCUCCCGUCAGUGCGCAGCUGUUGUUGGCACUCCCACAUCUGCUUGUCUCGGCUCGGCAGCCAUGUAGACGACGCUCAGCCGCGGCUCGUGUUAGUGCGUAGCGUGUAGGUCCAGGGGGCGACCAGCCUUUUACUGCGGGCUAAUCACUGCACACCCACGGCGUGUUUCUGCAGGUUGGCCAGCUUGCCCUCAGCCUGGAAGAAGAAAAAGAAGAAGUGUGUUUUUUUUUUCUCCCACCCGCACCGUUUGAUGCUGCGGGACAGGUGCAACCUGGACAUCACUGGUAAUCGUGCAGUUGGCAUGGCUGGAAUCAUCAGAGGUGGCGACAUAUCACCAGCCAGGACAGUGGGAGGACCGAAAUGAAACCAACAGCAGGACAGGUUAUGUGUACAGGCUGUAUUGUCUUUAUUAAAAAUCAUGGGGAGGAGAGUUUUUUAAUAGCACACAGUAUCAGAUGGAGAAUUUGAUAGCAUUACUCAGUCAGUUAAAUAUCUUUUUAGCAGAGGAUGUAUUUCAGUCUCAUUUGUCUUAAAUGAAAACCGAUAAGGAGAAGACAAUUAAAGGAAAGAACAAGUAAUCCCCAGGGUAUCUUUUGAGGACAGUUGGGUUGCGUCCCACUUUUCUGCUGCUUUGUGUUGUGUGUUCCUCUCCAGUUACACUGAUGAAAAAGCAGACCGGGGCUCGCUGGACCUCACAAGUGGCAUGGCUCCAUCGCCCUCUGCUGUGCUGCCUCGCAGACUGUGAUCGAUGCAUGGUGCCAUCUCUGCUGACCUGUACCUUCAGAGGGAGAGAAUCCAUGUCCAAGUGUGUCCCCACUGAGAGAUGACUGCUGCUGCUUUUUUGUAUAAGUGAAAAAGGGCUUUGAAGAGCUCAAAAUGCCACCACUGCUUUGUAGUCAGUGUCAGCAUGAUUAGAUUUAGCAGGGAGGUAUUUCAUGGAUGGUGUUUUGAGUCCAAAAUUAUUUGCUGCAGCGUUGUUUCCUGUUUCUCUCCAAUGUGCGUAUCUUCCUGGCUGUGUGAGUAAUACUAAUAUAGCUUCAUCCACCCCCACUGUCCUGUUUUUCAUUUUUUUGAGCUGAAAAAAACACAGACAGUGCAGCCAUCAAACACCACUAAUACUUGUUUUCUUCAGCCGACAUGUGCAGUGACCUCUUCACUAACACUUUGGCCACUUCUCCCUGUAUAAGACACUUAAACGAAGUGGUGUUUUAACAUGUGGCAACUUCUCACCAAAGCUAGCCUGUAUCUAUGCCAGAUCCAGAAAUGGAAAGCUCUGAUGUUUUUUAAGCCUGUAUUGUUAAAAAAAAAUCUGCUUCAAUGUGUGAGAAUGACUACUUUUCUCACAUUGUGACAAUGUGUAAUUCUCACAGUAUGUUCUUUGUUUGUCUUGAAACUUCCUAAUCUGGGUGUGAUACCAACUACUUGUAAUGUACUAUGUACAGUGUAUACUCCGUGUAUUUUUACUGUAGUGUGUGGGUGUGUGUGUCUGCGUGAGUGCACGUGUUUGUGUGCAUGUGCUCUAUUUGUGUGUGUGUUUUCUUCCUGUACGUGUGCAUGUGUCUGUCUGAUAAAACACAUUUGUAAUGGGCCUGAAGCUACUAGCUGCUUUUCAGUGGUUUUCUCAUCGCUGCACAGUUUUUUAAAAUGCCUGAAGUUCUUGUUUUAGCACACUGGAUGUACCAGACAAAGGAUAAAAAAAAUAUUUGCAAAUGGUUCUUAGCAUUUGUUACAGCCUCAUUGAAGUACCAGUUAGGUGGGGGUUCUUGUGAUUUAGAUAAUCACAAGAAUGUCGCUGGAAAUUAAUGGUGUGUGGUUUUCUAAAUGAUGCCUGCCGGCAUUAAUUAAACUGUCCCGAUGCCUACAGCCCCAUCAUCUGAUACUUCAGCAAAUUACAGCAAAUGCUAAUAAUUAUGUGCAAAUAGCUUUUUACCCAGGUCUGGAUUCUACUAACAGUAUCUCACUAAUAUCUAACAAUACUAAUGUCUGCUAACAGUCGGAUGAUUACUAACCUGUACUCUGAAUGCUGAUGGCUGGCCUUGUUCUUUCUAACCCACUGACUAACCUCUGCUUUAUGCCCGCAGUCUGAUGCACACACUCCUCUCUCAUGAUCCUGCAAUCCUUCUUCUAGAAAUCACCGGCUAAGAUGAAUUAUUAAAGAAGAAAAUCAAUGAAAACUGUUAAAGUGAGCGAGUCAAGAAGGGUUUCAGGACUUGGGAAGGGAAAUGUUAUUAACCACUAGAUGAAAAGAGGAGCAGAAACAGCUGCUGAUGUCAAACUGGGUUGACCACAUACUUAAGAAAAUUCCUCUCAAAAACCGAUUAUGAUCUGAUCCCAAAUGAUAUCACUUCACAGGCUAAAUUCACAUCUACAGAGGCCAUCUUUUGGUCUCUGCCUGUGCGCUGUGUGGUCAACCCUCGCAGGUGAGUGCCUGGCUUGUCGUCACCACAGGCCAAGCAAACCUCAACUCCACUACUAACUUAUAAUGGUGUUGAUACUAACAGUGGUGAGGCUGUAAAGACCCACCUGUUGCUCUUACUAACAUCUGUGUUCUUUCUGGCUCACACAUCCUGAUGUCUGUAAUCAAAUUAUUCUGUGUCUUUCUUAAUCUUUAAUUAAAUCAGAGCAUGCCUUGUGGUACUAGUGAUGUUUAUUAAAGGGACAGUUCACCCCCAAAACAAAAAAAAAUUUGUAUUUUUCCUCAUACCCGUAGAACUAUUUAUCAAUCUAGACUGUUUUCUGUGAGUUUCCAAGUGGAGAUAUUGGCUGGAGAGUUAAUAGAAAAAAUAGUUCCGACAUAAAACGGCUCACAACAAGGACUGUGGAUUAUCUUGAGUAACCAGUUCAAGAGUACCUUAUAAAUCCAUUAUAUUUUAGAGAGUGCAGACUUCUCUAUUGCCAACAUCUGUAACACUCAGCAGCU
Molecule: long non-coding RNA, 3363 nt
Organism: Centropristis striata (black sea bass)
Lineage: Eukaryota; Metazoa; Chordata; Actinopteri; Perciformes; Serranidae
Exons: 3
Source: RefSeq, a predicted model, not a curated record